GGGGAUUUAGCUCAGCAGUAGAGCGCUUGCCUAGCAAGUGCAAGGCCCUGGGUUCAGUCCCCA
This 63-nucleotide transfer RNA is filed under the name Rattus norvegicus (Norway rat). It matches the Rfam family "tRNA". From Rfam's summary of the family: Transfer RNA (tRNA) molecules are approximately 80 nucleotides in length. The record is from Rfam by way of RNAcentral. Lineage: Eukaryota; Metazoa; Chordata; Mammalia; Rodentia; Muridae.